AUGGAGUUAUCACCAGAAGAAAAAAUGGGUUGGAUAGUAAGUGACCAGACUGACACUCAAUGCCCAACACAGCACUUGGCACAUCUAGGAGCUCAGAAGUUUUUAUUCAAUUUAUUGUUGAAGGAGGACGUGCUGCCUGGUGCAGACCUGCCCUUGAAGCAGGGCCCUGCCUCAGGCACCCGGUGGUUUGGUGCUGGUGAUACCUGCUUCCUAGCGUCCAGGUGGAGCCAAAACAUGAUGAGGAUGUAAAGUACUUAUUAUAUACUCGAUGAAUAACCACUAUUUGAAGCGCUUUACUUCCCCCACACAGUGAUGCGUUAUUGGGGCCUCAUGUUCUCACAUGACAGGAGAAAACCAAAAUUUGUUGUCAUAUCUGAAGGAAUUGGAAAUUGUCUAAAGAAACCUUACACAAAUGAAAAGGAUGAAUAAAUUUAAAGUUGUAAAUGCAAACUGUUUUCCAGCUCAAGGCAAUUAACAACUCACAGUGUCCUGGCAGGAAAACAUCUAGUAAGAAAGGACAGUGGGUCCCAAGGCUUGGACCUUCCCAAUCCAAUCAGAUUGGCAGGACAGAAGUGACAAGUGGUUCAAGGUUCUUGCUAGUCUCUGGAGAAAUUCUGGAAUAGGCAGCUCUGACACAUGAACAGCCUGCAUGGAUCAAGAACCUCAUGGCCUUGCAGAUUCUCAAACCAAUGGAUUUCUCUUCCAUACACGUGUUCUACACUUCAGCCAUGAAUUGACUGAGUUGCCUAUACUAAGAGUUUAAAUCAAAGGUACAAAAAAAAAAUGUUUUUUAAAUAAAUCAAAGGCAUGUGCAGGGUGUUGAACCAAGGGGACAGUCAACUUGGAUACAAGGUCAAGAUCGGCAGCAAGUUCUAUGAUCCAGAGCUCCUAUCAGAUAAAAACUUCAAGGGCACAUUUCUUUUCAAAGGCGUAUUCCGGUUAUAAGGCCUCUUUUUGAUUCAUGAUGCUAGGAUUCUGCUUCCCCCUACCCACUCACUCCCACCCUGGGAUCCAGCAUAGGGCUAAAGACACAAUAGGACUCAAUGUCUAUUAAAUUAGUUCAGGAUAAGACAUGGUUAUUACCUAAAGGAGCUCAAAACCUAAUUGAGGAGAUGAUGUACAUGUAUGAAGCCUCUAGAAAUCAUACAAGUCAGUGUGUGGAAGGGGUAAACUGUAAGAUAAAUGAGGAGAGCCACUGGCAGGUCCCAUGCACUCCAUGCUGCGGGCAGGCACCCUUCCUAGCAAUUCGAUUUUAAACACCAGAGCCAGGGAAAGAGGCCAGAAAAGGAAGGGCCGCGACCAGACACCAGACAGACCAGUGCAUGGGACACAUGAUUGGAGCAACAG
RNAcentral lists this long non-coding RNA (1347 nucleotides) under Canis lupus familiaris (dog). Its description in RNAcentral is "lncRNA (ENSCAFG00040022723.1)". The record is from RNAcentral. Lineage: Eukaryota; Metazoa; Chordata; Mammalia; Carnivora; Canidae.